CAGCACGUGGGCGACGCACGCCGCGACGCACCGAGGCGGACGGAGGCCACAACGGCGGUCCGUCCCGGACCAAGAGAGAGACACACGGAACGCGACACGUACUGUACUACGUCAGCCGACCAAAGCUCGCCCGUGCUGCGGCCCUGAGACUCCGCGAGCGUGCAAGAGACGGUGGAGCACCCGAGGCAACCGGCGGCGUUUCCUCGCCCGGCCGCUCUCCGCCCCUCGGCGUCGCCGGUGCAAAUGCCUGCGCCGCGACCGCAGCAGCGGGUUCUGCUCGUCGCGGCUGCCUGGAGCCUCGGCCUGCUCUGCCUCGCCGCCGCGGAAGGUGGAGGCGGCUCCUGCGAGCUCUCGGUCGAGCGCGGUGGCGCGCUCUAUAACUUCAGCCUCGCGGCGCCGACGCCGGCCCACCGCCACGGCGUCCUCAGCGAGGAUGGGUUUUACAAAGUGGCCAUGAACGAUUCAGUCAUCUGGUUCCAGCUCUGCGAUCAGAUGAUAUUCAACUUUGACCCACCUGUCUGUCUUCACUGUGAGGACUGUGGUGGUCCAUUGAGGUGUGGCACCCAAUGCAGCGCACUUGCUUCAAAUAACAUUGGAGGGUAUGAUGUUUGUACAACCAUUGGAAGGGCAUCUGGAUCCCAUAUAUCUCUAAUAGCAGAUGAAGGUAAUCCACAAAAGGGUGUCAUUGUCAAGAUGUUUUCAUCAAAGUGUUCUAUUUCUGUUUUCAUCUUUUGUGAUUCAGCUGUAGCCCAACUACCGGAUACAUUCACCCAAUCUGGAAGUUGUGAUUACGUUACGGUACUUAGACACCCUUCUGGGUGUGCAAGAUCAGUGUCUGAUGCUGGAAAUGGCUGGGGAUGGUUAGGCACUUCGUUCAUAACAAUUUUGUGCCUUCUUGGAGGAUACAUUCUGAUUGGUGCAAUCUAUAGAUAUUAUUUCCUCGGCAUUCGUUCUGUAGAGGCCAUUCCGAACCUGGAAUUUUGGAUCAGUUUGCCAUGGAGAAUUAAGAGCAUGUUUGUUCGUCCAAGAAGAAACCCAAGAAGUCAGAGCAGAGAUACUAGAGGUCCAUACACCACUGUAAACCACUGAGAAGUAGAAAAAUUCAAUACCAGUAUUGACAGUCAUACAGUGGACAAGCAUAUGUGGAUUGGGUUGAAAGCAAAACCUUUGAUCUCUGCCCAUAUGCCAGAAUAUGAACCUGCCACAGGAUAGUUUCUGAGCUGCAGUAGCGUAAUCGUGCUACGUGCUGUUCCUGGGCUCUGGUGCAGAUGACCAGUGGUUUGGCUACAAUUUAACAGAUUCCCCUUUUACGGAUUCAUGAAAUUUCCAUGGUCACUUGGCCUUCUCUUGUCUGUUCUGUGCUGCAUUUGUCCUUGGCAAAUCAAAUUCUGCGGACUCGAGUCCUUUGUGGGUAUUGGAGGCUUCAUUUUCGAAAGGAUGGAUGUAAUGCAAUCUGCGAUGUUGUUGAUCUGAAUUUAUGUAUUGCCACUGCUGCCACAAAGAUAUUGAUAUGUGUUGAUGUUUGGAUCAUCAAACCUAGAAGCGUUCGAUGACAAAUAGUUAGUUUGUGCUGCCGAAUAUUCUGUUCAUGAUGCUGUAGACUGGACGAAUUAUGAGGAUGGCAGAAGAGUCACGGACUCGAACUGGGAAGUACGAGUGUAUGCUUCUUGUGUUCUGUAAGUAUAGGAGCUGACAUUUUCUUCUUCUCUCUGCCGUUUUCUUUUUCAUCUGCUCUUGUUUGGGGAGAAUGACUAUUGCGUGAACUACCGACAACUGUAUCUUCUCUUUCGACCCAGCAAAUAACAGAGGUGGAUCUGGGGUGUGUGUACGAUCGUAUC
Triticum urartu is the source of this 1838-nucleotide RNA transcript. It is a transcript of the gene named autophagy-like protein, with no coding region annotated. NCBI's taxonomy places the organism in Eukaryota, Viridiplantae, Streptophyta, Magnoliopsida, Poales, Poaceae. The record is from RefSeq and is a predicted model, not a curated record.